This 774-nucleotide ribosomal RNA is filed under the name uncultured Neocallimastigales. RNAcentral describes it as "partial large subunit ribosomal RNA". It matches the Rfam family "Eukaryotic large subunit ribosomal RNA", at positions 23 to 639 of the family's 3401-position model. The record is from RNAcentral. Lineage: Eukaryota; Fungi; Neocallimastigomycota; Neocallimastigomycetes; Neocallimastigales.
AGAGAGAGACAUGCGCGCAUAUCAAUAAGCGGAGGAAAAGAAACUAACUAGGAUUCCCUCAGUAACGGCGAGUGAAGCGGGAAGAGCUCAAAUUUGAAAUCUUAAAGGGUUUCCCUUGACGAAUUGUAGUUUAAAGAAGUGUUUUCUGUUGGAGGUUUUGGUAAAAGUUCUUUGGAAUAGGACAUCAUAGAGGGUGAGAAUCCCGUAUUUGACCAUUAUUUCCAGCUUUGUGAUACACUUUCAAGAGUCGGAUUGUUUGGGAAUGCAGUCCAAAAUGGGUGGUAAAUUUCAUCUAAAGCUAAAUACUGGCGAGAGACCGAUAGCGAACAAGUACCGUGAGGGAAAGAUGAAAAGAACUUUGAAAAGAGAGUUAAACAGUACGUGAAAUUGUCAAAAGGGAAGCGUUUGACACCAGUGUUGUUUUCUCGAAAAUCAAUUAAAAAAGGCAGGAUUUUGUGUUGUAUUGACUUUAUCAGCUUUCUGCACUCUUUUCUUGUCUUUUUUAAUGCACUUUUCGUUUAACAAGUCAACAUCAAUUUCUUUUGUUGUAAAAGGGUCAUUGGAAGGUGGCUUUCUUUUCGGAGAAAGUGUUUAUAGCCUUUGGCCUCUGCAAUCGGAGAGAUUGAGGUCUGCAGCGUAGAUCCUUCGGGGUUAGAUACAUUUGUGCUAAGUUAUAGCCUUUCAUAGACAACUUGUUGACUAUGAUCAGUCAUGUAGCUUACUCGCUUAUGCUAUUUUACCUACGCUUAGGAUGUUGAUGUGAUACUGCGAGCA